This 558-nucleotide ribosomal RNA is filed under the name Escherichia coli. RNAcentral describes it as "bacterial SSU rRNA". It matches the Rfam family "Bacterial small subunit ribosomal RNA", at positions 903 to 1456 of the family's 1533-position model. Lineage: Bacteria; Pseudomonadati; Pseudomonadota; Gammaproteobacteria; Enterobacterales; Enterobacteriaceae. The record is from RNAcentral.
CUGGAAUCGAUCAGGCGACCGCACCCAGUCGGUUCGAGCAUGUGGUUUAAUCGAUGCAACGCGAAGAACCUUACCUGUCUUGACAUGCCACGGAAGUUUUCAGAGAUGAGAAUGUGCCUUCGGGAACUCGUGAGACAGGGUGCUGCAUGGCUGUCGUCAGCUCGUGUUGUGAAAAUGUUGGGUUAAGUCCCGCAACGAGCGCAACCCUUAUCCUUUGUUGCCAGCGGUCCGGCCGGGAACUCAAAGGAGACUGCCAGUGAUAAACUGGAGGAAGGUGGGGAUGACGUCAAGUCAUCAUGGCCCUUACGACCAGGGCUACACACGUGCUACAAUGGCGCAUACAAAGAGAAGCGACCUCGCGAGAGCAAGCGGACCUCAUAAAGUGCGUCGUAGUCCGGAUUGGAGUCUGCAACUCGACUCCAUGAAGUCGGAAUCGCUAGUAAUCGUGGAUCAGAAUGCCACGGUGAAUACGUUCCCGGGCCUUGUACACACCGCCCGUCACACCAUGGGAGUGGGUUGCAAAAGAAGUAGGUAGCUUAACCUUCGGGAGGGCGCUUA